GACGAACGCUGGCGGCGUGCUUAACACAUGCAAGUCGAACGGAAAGGCCCUGCUUUUGUGGGGUGCUCGAGUGGCGAACGGGUGAGUAACACGUGAGUAACCUGCCCUUGACUUUGGGAUAACUUCAGGAAACUGGGGCUAAUACCGGCUAGGAGCUCCUGCUGCAUGGUGGGGGUUGGAAAGUUUCGGCGGUUGGGGAUGGACUCGCGGCUUAUCAGCUUGUUGGUGGGGUAGUGGCUUACCAAGGCUUUGACGGGUAGCCGGCCUGAGAGGGUGACCGGCCACAUUGGGACUGAGAUACGGCCCAGACUACUACGCGUGGCAGCAGUGGGGAAUAUUGCACAAUGGGCGGAAGCCUGAUGCAGCAACGCCGCGUGCGUGAUGACGGCCUUCGGGUUGUAAACCGAUUUCGCCUGUGACGAAGCGUGAGUGACGGUCAUGGGUAAAGAAGCACCGGCUAACUACGUG
RNAcentral lists this ribosomal RNA (468 nucleotides) under uncultured bacterium. RNAcentral's name for it is "partial 16S ribosomal RNA". It matches the Rfam family "Bacterial small subunit ribosomal RNA", at positions 28 to 507 of the family's 1533-position model. The record is from RNAcentral.